This 404-nucleotide unclassified non-coding RNA is filed under the name soil metagenome. Its description in RNAcentral is "partial contains 5.8S ribosomal RNA, internal transcribed spacer 2, and large subunit ribosomal RNA". The stretch from base 1 to 122 matches the Rfam family "5.8S ribosomal RNA", at positions 35 to 154 of the family's 154-position model. The record is from RNAcentral.
GAUGAAGAACGUAGCAAAAUGCGAUACUUGGUGUGAAUUGCAGAAUCCCGUGAACCAUCGAGUUUUUGAACGCAAGUUGCGCCCGAAGCCUUUUGGCCGAGGGCACGUCUGCCUGGGCGUCACGCAUCGCGUCGCCCCCCACAACUCUCCGUAAAGGGAACUUGUGUUUUGGGGGCGGAUAUUGGUCUCCCGUGCUCAUGGCGUGGUUGGCCGAAAUAGGAGUCCCUCCGGUGGACGCACGAACUAGUGGUGGACGUAAAAACCCUCGUCUUUUGUUUCGUGCCGUUAGUCGCGAGGGAAACUCUUUAAAAACCCAAAUGUGUCGUCUCUUGACGGCGCUUCGACCGCGACCCCAGGUCAGGCGGGACUACCCGCUGAGUUUAAGCAUAUCAAUAAGCGGAGGA